Molecule: ribosomal RNA, 731 nt
Filed under: bacterium enrichment culture clone SC-2_4
Lineage: Bacteria
Description: bacterial SSU rRNA
Rfam family: Bacterial small subunit ribosomal RNA
Source: RNAcentral
UAGAGUUUGAUCCUGGCUCAGAUUGAACGCUGGCGGCAUGCCUUACACAUGCAAGUCGGACGGCAGCGCGGGCUUCGGCCUGGCGGCGAGUGGCGAACGGGUGAGUAAUACAUCGGAACGUGUCCUGGAGUGGGGGAUAGCCCGGCGAAAGCCGGAUUAAUACCGCAUACGCUCUGCGGAGGAAAGCGGGGGACCUUCGGGCCUCGCGCUCAAGGGGCGGCCGAUGGCAGAUUAGCUAGUUGGUGGGGUAAAGGCCUACCAAGGCGACGAUCUGUAGCUGGUCUGAGAGGACGACCAGCCACACUGGGACUGAGACACGGCCCAGACUCCUACGGGAGGCAGCAGUGGGGAAUUUUGGACAAUGGGGGCAACCCUGAUCCAGCAAUGCCGCGUGUGUGAAGAAGGCCUUCGGGUUGUAAAGCACUUUUGUCCGGAAAGAAAGCGUCCUGGCUAAUACCUGGGGCGGAUGACGGUACCGGAAGAAUAAGCACCGGCUAACUACGUGCCAGCAGCCGCGGUAAUACGUAGGGUGCAAGCGUUAAUCGGAAUUACUGGGCGUAAAGCGUGCGCAGGCGGUUUUGUAAGUCUGACGUGAAAUCCCCGGGCUCAACCUGGGAAUUGCGUUGGAGACUGCAAGGCUGGAGUCUGGCAGAGGGGGGUAGAAUUCCACGUGUAGCAGUGAAAUGCGUAGAGAUGUGGAGGAACACCGAUGGCGAAGGCAGCCCCCUGGG